Molecule: long non-coding RNA, 970 nt
Organism: Labeo rohita (rohu)
Lineage: Eukaryota; Metazoa; Chordata; Actinopteri; Cypriniformes; Cyprinidae
Exons: 3
Source: RefSeq, a predicted model, not a curated record
AAAUAGACCUUUAGUUCAAACUAAGCAAAAUUGAACCAAAAAUAGAAUGUAUUCAUCCACACACGUGGUGGAGAAUGCGGGCAAAAUCAUAAAAAUAUGUUUUUGCUCACAAUUUCAAGUUUAUAUAUUGCAAUUCUGUUUACAUCUGUUUAUCGUUUGUUUGCUUCUGCAAGGAAUAAAUAAUAAAACAAGUAAUUGUGCCUUUUUAAGUAAUUUUGACUUUAUUUCUUGAGUUUCUCGCAAUUCUAAAUUUGGAUUCUAGUUUUUCCUCUAAGUUGUGUGAAAAAUGUCUGAAUUAUGAGAUAAAAAGUCACAACACACCUUGCAGAAUCUGCAAAAUGUUAAUUACUAAAAUAGGAGGGAUCAUACAAAAUGCAUGGUAUUUUUUAUUUAGUACUGACCUGAAUAAGAUAUUUCACAUAAAAGACAUUUACUUAUGAUCCACAAGAGCAUAUGCAACUAUUACAGAAGGUUCAAACGCUCACUGAUGCUCCAAAAGGAAAAAUGAUGCAUUAAGAGCCGGGGGUGAAAACUUUUGAACUAAAUAAGGAUGUGUACAUUUUUCUGAUCUUGCCUAAAUAUCAUAUAUUUUUUUUCAUUUAGUGCUGCCCUUCAGAAGCUACAGAUGAUGUUCCCCUGAAGAUAAAAUCAGUUAAAUUUACCCUGAUCUUCAAAUUCCAAAAGUUUUCACACCCCAGCUCUUAAUGCAUCGUGUUUCCUUCUGGAGCAUCACUCUCGGGGGUGAGCUGUGUUUGGAUGUCCACUCUGCAGAUGGGACACUUCCUACUGGUGGCCAACCACUGGUCCACACACGCCUGAUGGAACAAAUGCAUACAGGGUAACCGCCUGGAAACACAGAGACAGAUAAAAGCAUGGAGAGGCAGAUGGUGCAUUUCUCAUCCACAUCCGACUCUUCCUCACUCUCACAUAACUUCAGAUCCAGCGGCUUCCGCUACACACACACACAAAU